This 78-nucleotide transfer RNA is filed under the name Proteus phage RP7. RNAcentral describes it as "tRNA-Met". It matches the Rfam family "tRNA". From Rfam's summary of the family: Transfer RNA (tRNA) molecules are approximately 80 nucleotides in length. Their secondary structure includes four short double-helical elements and three loops (D, anti-codon, and T loops). RNAcentral also lists the same sequence under 1 other name. The record is from RNAcentral. Lineage: Duplodnaviria; Heunggongvirae; Uroviricota; Caudoviricetes; Demerecviridae.
UGCGAGUUAGAAGUUCUGGUGAACUCUCUGGUCUCAUAAGCCAGCUUAGGUAGGUUCGAUUCCUGCACUCGCUACCAA